Molecule: ribosomal RNA, 484 nt
Filed under: uncultured bacterium
Lineage: Bacteria
Description: partial 16S ribosomal RNA
Rfam family: Bacterial small subunit ribosomal RNA
Source: RNAcentral
GACGAACGCUGGCGGCGUGCUUAGCACAUGCAAGUCGAACGAUGAACCCGGAGCUUGCUCCGGUGGGUUAGUGGCGAACGGGUGAGUAACACGUGAGUAACCUGCCCUUGACUCUGGGAUAACUGCGGGAAACUGUAGCUAAUACCGGAUACGACCCUCGGCGGCAUCGCCAGGGGGUGGAAAGAAUUUCGGUCAAGGAUGGACUCGCGGCCUAUCAGCUAGUUGGUGAGGUAACGGCUCACCAAGGCGACGACGGGUAGCCGGCCUGAGAGGGGGACCGGCCACCCUGGGACUGAGACACGGCCCAGACUCCUACGGGAGGCAGCAGUGGGGAAUAUUGCACAAUGGGCGCAAGCCUGAUGCAGCAACGCCGCGUGAGGGAUGACGGCCUUCGGGCUGUAAACCUCUUUUAGUAGGGAAGAAGCGAAAGUGACGGUACCUGUAGAAAAAGCACCGGCUAACUACGUGCCAGCCGCCGCCGUAA